Molecule: small nuclear RNA, 171 nt
Organism: Cyprinus carpio carpio
Lineage: Eukaryota; Metazoa; Chordata; Actinopteri; Cypriniformes; Cyprinidae
Gene: U2
Rfam family: U2 spliceosomal RNA
About the family: U2 is a small nuclear RNA (snRNA) component of the spliceosome (involved in pre-mRNA splicing). Complementary binding between U2 snRNA (in an area lying towards the 5' end but 3' to hairpin I) and the branchpoint sequence (BPS) of the intron results the bulging out of an unpaired adenosine, on the BPS, which initiates a nucleophilic attack at the intronic 5' splice site, thus starting the first of two transesterification reactions that mediate splicing.
Source: Ensembl
AUAAUUUUUUUUAAAAAAUCUGUUCUUAUCAGUUUAAUAUCUGAUACGUCCCCUAUCUGGGGACUACAUAUUAAAUUGAUUUUUGGAUCACUGUGCUGGACCUGGGACUUGCUCUGUCCACUCCACACAUCGGCCUGGUAUUGCAGUGUCUCCAGGAACAGUGUGCUUCCC